UUUACAAAAUGUGCUACCGAUAUUUCUAAAAAACGAGUUGGGGGGCGGAAAAAGCACUUCAUAGAAUAACAAGCAAUCGUGCGAUGAUGUGGUUGAGCAACGCCUGUGGCUUUCCGAUAAAAUUGUAAAAAAAUAACUAAUAAAAUAGACGAAUAAAUCGGUUGGAAAAGUAAUUAUAUUAUUUAUUUUUUUCUCGUGUGCCUGAAUUAAUAAAAUUGGAAGUCCUCUAGUGCUAAUAACAUUAAAAGAUCUUUCGGAGUCUUGAAAAAAAUGGGAACAGUAUCCAGCAUUUUCAUAAUUACAUCUAUUAUACCAUAUAAGGCUGCAGCAGCAGUCGCCAGCCAAAAGUACGCAACAAGUUGACUGCAACUUUUAUGAACAGGAUUUUCGCGCGUUAGCGUAUCAACCCCCUCCCACCGUAUUUCAUGCCUUUUUUAAUGUAUGCGUGAAUUAUUCGCCUUUUCCAUAUUUACCAAUAAAAGAACUCCUCUAAGUUCCUUUGCAGCGUCAAAUA
Molecule: long non-coding RNA, 514 nt
Organism: Rhagoletis zephyria (snowberry fruit fly)
Lineage: Eukaryota; Metazoa; Arthropoda; Insecta; Diptera; Tephritidae
Source: RefSeq, a predicted model, not a curated record